UACGUAGGGUGCAAGCGUUAAUCGGAAUUACUGGGCGUAAAGCGUGCGCAGGCGGUUUUGUAAGUCAGAUGUGAAAUCCCCGGGCUCAACCUGGGAACUGCAUUUGUGACUGCAUGGCUAGAGUACGGUAGAGGGGGAUGGAAUUCCCGGUGUAGCGGUGAAAUGCGCAGAUAUCGGGAGGAACACCAAUGGCGAAGGCAAUCCCCUGGACCUGUACUGACGCUGAGGAGCGAAAGCAUGGGGAGCGAACAGG
This 253-nucleotide ribosomal RNA is filed under the name uncultured bacterium. RNAcentral describes it as "partial 16S ribosomal RNA". It matches the Rfam family "Bacterial small subunit ribosomal RNA", at positions 524 to 776 of the family's 1533-position model. The record is from RNAcentral.